RNAcentral lists this ribosomal RNA (447 nucleotides) under uncultured organism. RNAcentral's name for it is "partial 16S ribosomal RNA". It matches the Rfam family "Bacterial small subunit ribosomal RNA", at positions 333 to 797 of the family's 1533-position model. The record is from RNAcentral.
ACACUCCUACGGGAGGCAGCAGUGGGGAAUAUUGGACAAUGGGCGCAAGCCUGAUCCAGCCAUGCCGCGUGAGUGAUGAAGGCCCUAGGGUUGUAAAGCUCUUUCACCGGUGAAGAUAAUGACGGUAACCGGAGAAGAAGCCCCGGCUAACUUCGUGCCAGCAGCCGCGGUAAUACGAAGGGGGCUAGCGUUGUUCGGAUUUACUGGGCGUAAAGCGCACGUAGGCGGACUAUUAAGUCAGGGGUGAAAUCCCGGGGCUCAACCCCGGAACUGCCUUUGAUACUGGUAGUCUUGAGUUCGGGAGAGGUGAGUGGAAUUCCGAGUGUAGAGGUGAAAUUCGUAGAUAUUCGGAGGAACACCAGUGGCGAAGGCGGCUCACUGGCUCGAUACUGACGCUGAGGUGCGAAAGCGUGGGGAGCAAACAGGAUUAGAAACCCCUGUAGUCCC